UGGGGUCCUCCCCUGUGCGCACGUGGAGGGCGGGGGCUCCGCCCUGGGGUUCCCGAUCCCCCAAGCUGGUCCUGGGAUGGUGGAUAAAGUCCCUGAGGGGAGGCCGAGGAAGCUCGGUAGCUGCAGGAGGAACCCGCAGCCGGCCCUCUUGGGGGGAAGGGAGGACGCACCUGGAAGCGAGGAUCUGGGCAGGUGGCCAGGUCGCGUCCCUGCCCGGAGAGCCCAAGAAGGGCGGACCCGGGUUUCCCACUUAGCUCUUGCAUUCAGUCUGUGGGAUCCCAGAGUUUGACAGUUGGAGCAGAGAUCCAAGGAGGCCGCUGCUGGGGAGGAAGCCAGCUCAGCUCCUACAACAUUAAACCUGUAUGGUAACUUCUGUUCCCCUCACGUCUCAUAGCUGGCGACACUGAAGGCCCAGAGUUGAAGCUGUGUCUUGCUCCAGAUCCCCCAGCUCCUGCAGUGCUCCAGGCCCUGGCGGUAAGACGUCAUGCCAGGAAAUGCAGGAUGUCACAGAUCAGGGCACAGAUCUAUCCCAAAUCCUGAAUGGGGCUGGAGCACAUUGGAGUGAAACCAAGCUCUAUGGAGAGGGGUGAGAAGAGAAGGAGAAACAUGUCCACCACACGUCAAAGGACUCAUAGAAGGAAAGACAAGAUGCGGGAGCCCUGGAGGAGAUCAGAAGAUCUUGUUUAUUCCUGUCUUGAUGUCUGAAGAGACCUCUCCCCGGGCUCAGGAAUUGGAAUGAGGGUGGGGUGGGGUCAUCCUCUGAUGUUUUAUUUCGUUGCUUUAUGCAAAAACAUAAAUUUCAGACACUCAUUUGACUUGUAAC
This is a long non-coding RNA of Galeopterus variegatus (Sunda flying lemur), 823 nucleotides long. RefSeq lists it as uncharacterized. The transcript is spliced from 3 exons. NCBI's taxonomy places the organism in Eukaryota, Metazoa, Chordata, Mammalia, Dermoptera, Cynocephalidae. The record is from RefSeq and is a predicted model, not a curated record.